GGGGUGAACCAGGACCCCCAAGUGAACCCCCUAAAUGCGCCCCUGUGCCACCGCCACGUGCGGGACGCCCCAAUCCUCCUGUCCCCUCCCCGACCCCCAGUCCCUCCCAGUCCCUCCCAGUCCCUCCCAGUCCCUCCCAGUCCCUCCCAGUCCCCCCCUCCCCGCGGGGUGCCGGGGGCGCGGGCGCUUCCCGCUGUACCGGAUCCCACCGGAAUUCCCGGCUGGGCCGGGGCAGCGGGACGGGACGGGCCGGGCCGGGCCGGGGGGCGCCCGGGGGGCAGGGAGCGGUCGUGACCGCCCCCGUGGUUUCGUGCCCGGUGCCCGCCCGGGCUGCUCCCGGUGCUCCCGGUGCUCCCGGUAUUCCCGUACCUGCGCGGCCGGGGCCGGGGGGCAGCAGCAGCCCCGGCGCAAUUCCAUGUCCAGCGCUGACCCCCGCGCCACCGUGGCGCGGCUCCGCUCGUCCCGCCGGAACAUGGCCGGGGGUCCCGGCGGUCCCGGGGGUCCCGGGGGGUUCGGAGGGUUCGAGGCACCCCGGGGUCCAGAGGUUUCUGGAGGGUCCCGGUCCUCCCAGGGGUCUUGAGGGAUGCCGGGGUUUGGAGUGUUCCGAGAGGUCCCGGGGGGAUCCCGGAGCCUCGGUGCGCUGGAGAUUUGUGGGGGUGUUCCCGGUGUCCGAGGUGGUCGCGGUUCUCUGGAGCCCCGCGGGGUCCCGGGUGUCCGGAGCUUUCCGGGGGUUCCCGAGGUCGCGGCAAUCCCGGGAUUUUGGCGGUCCCGGCGCUCCGGGUGUGGAGGGGAGGUGACGAAGGGAAUCCCGGUGUCCGGAGCGUUCUGUUCGUUCCCCGGAGCUCUCCCGGUGUGAGACACCGGGAUGGACGAACGGGGAGACGCCGGGGUCGCUCCUCCCGGCCCCGCGCAGCUCCGGGAUGCGGCGGCGAUCGGUGCCGGCGGCUCCUGGCACGGGCGGGACAAUGGCCCGGGGGAUGGGGGGGGUCUGUGUGACAUCUGCGAGCCUGUGACAGCUCCGCGACACCGGGGCUGCCACACGCGUGUCCCCGCGGGGAAUCCCAAAAUCCCGCUGCGGGAAGGGUGGGAAAAGCCCUCCGGAGGUGUCGCGGCUCUGCCUCGAGCUGAGCCGGGAUUUGUGUUUAGUUCGUGGCCAAAAAUUCCUCCUCCUGCCCAGGGCACCAUCCUGGCACCCCCGGGGACAGAUCUGUGGGGCUGGAUGGGGUUUUUGUGUGGAUGGAUGGGAUCCAUACUCAGAUGAGAGAUUUGUGCGGAUAUUUGGGACAUUUGGGUGGGUAUCUGGGGGGUUUGGGUGGGUAUUUGAGGGGUUUCUGUGGAUAUUUGGGAUAUUUGGGGGGCUUAUGUGGAUAUUUGGGAUAUUUGGGUGGGUAUUUGAGGGAUUUGUGUGGGUAUUUGGGAUAUUUGGGGGGUUUAUGUGGAUAUUUGGGAUAUUUGGGUGGGUAUUUGAGGGGUUUGUGUGGACAUUUGGGAAUAUUUGGGUGGGUAUAUGUGGUUUUCUGCAGAUACUUGGGAUACUUGGGUGUGAAUUUGGGGGCGGGGUUGUGUGGAUAAUUGGGAAU
Chloebia gouldiae (Gouldian finch) is the source of this 1580-nucleotide long non-coding RNA. Lineage: Eukaryota; Metazoa; Chordata; Aves; Passeriformes; Passeridae. The record is from Ensembl.